CUAUACAUGCAAGUCGAGCGGACAGAAGGGAGCUUGCUCCCGGAUGUUAGCGGCGGACGGGUGAGUAACACGUGGGUAACCUGCCUGUAAGACUGGGAUAACUCCGGGAAACCGGAGCUAAUACCGGAUAGUUCCUUGAACCGCAUGGUUCAAGGAUGAAAGACGGUUUCGGCUGUCACUUACAGAUGGACCCGCGGCGCAUUAGCUAGUUGGUGGGGUAAUGGCUCACCAAGGCGACGAUGCGUAGCCGACCUGAGAGGGUGAUCGGCCACACUGGGACUGAGACACGGCCCAGACUCCUACGGGAGGCAGCAGUAGGGAAUCUUCCGCAAUGGACGAAAGUCUGACGGAGCAACGCCGCGUGAGUGAUGAAGGUUUUCGGAUCGUAAAGCUCUGUUGUUAGGGAAGAACAAGUGCGAGAGUAACUGCUCGCACCUUGACGGUACCUAACCAGAAAGCCACGGCUAACUACGUGCCAGCAGCCGCGGUAAUACGUAGGUGGCAAGCGUUGUCCGGAAUUAUUGGGCGUAAAGGGCUCGCAGGCGGUUUCUUAAGUCUGAUGUGAAAGCCCCCGGCUCAACCGGGGAGGGUCAUUGGAAACUGGGAAACUUGAGUGCAGAAGAGGAGAGUGGAAUUCCACGUGUAGCGGUGAAAUGCGUAGAGAUGUGGAGGAACACCAGUGGCGAAGGCGACUCUCUGGUCUGU
This 705-nucleotide ribosomal RNA is filed under the name Bacillus sp. (in: firmicutes). RNAcentral describes it as "bacterial SSU rRNA". It matches the Rfam family "Bacterial small subunit ribosomal RNA", at positions 49 to 737 of the family's 1533-position model. Lineage: Bacteria; Bacillati; Bacillota; Bacilli; Caryophanales; Bacillaceae. The record is from RNAcentral.